CCUACGGGUGGCAGCAGUGGGGAAUAUUGGACAAUGGGGGGAACCCUGAUCCAGCCAUGCCGCGUGUGUGAAGAAGGCCCUCGGGUUGUAAAGCACUUUCAGUGAGGAAGAACGCCUGGUGGUUAAUACCCAUCAGGAAAGACAUCACUCACAGAAGAAGCACCGGCUAACUCCGUGCCAGCAGCCGCGGUAAUACGGAGGGUGCGAGCGUUAAUCGGAAUUACUGGGCGUAAAGCGCGCGUAGGUGGCUUGAUAAGCCGGUUGUGAAAGCCCGGGCUCAACCUGGGAACGGCAUCCGGAACUGUCAAGCUAGAGUGCAGGAGAGGAAGGUAGAAUUCCCGGUGUAGCGGUGAAAUGCGUAGAGAUCGGGAGGAAUACCAGUGGCGAAGGCGGCCUUCUGGACUGACACUGACACUGAGGUGCGAAAGCGUGGGUAGCAAACAGGAUUAGAUACCCCGGUAGUC
This 464-nucleotide ribosomal RNA is filed under the name Vreelandella stevensii. RNAcentral describes it as "partial 16S ribosomal RNA". It matches the Rfam family "Bacterial small subunit ribosomal RNA", at positions 338 to 795 of the family's 1533-position model. Lineage: Bacteria; Pseudomonadati; Pseudomonadota; Gammaproteobacteria; Oceanospirillales; Halomonadaceae. The record is from RNAcentral.